This 253-nucleotide ribosomal RNA is filed under the name uncultured Eubacteriales bacterium. RNAcentral describes it as "uncultured Clostridiales bacterium partial 16S ribosomal RNA". It matches the Rfam family "Bacterial small subunit ribosomal RNA", at positions 524 to 776 of the family's 1533-position model. Lineage: Bacteria; Bacillati; Bacillota; Clostridia; Eubacteriales. The record is from RNAcentral.
UACGUAGGGGGCAAGCGUUAUCCGGAUUUACUGGGUGUAAAGGGAGCGUAGACGGCAGCGCAAGUCUGGAGUGAAAUCCCAUGGCUUAACCAUGGAACUGCUUUGGAAACUGUGCAGCUGGAGUGCAGGAGAGGUAAGCGGAAUUCCUAGUGUAGCGGUGAAAUGCGUAGAUAUUAGGAAGAACACCGGUGGCGAAGGCGGCUUUCUGGACAGAAACUGACAUUGAGGCACGAAAGUGUGGGGAGCAAACAGG